UUCCGGUUGAUCCUGCCGGAGGCCACUGCUAUUGGGAUCCGACUAAGCCAUGCGAGUCGAGAGGGUUCGGCCCUCGGCAGACUGCUCAGCAACACGUGGAUAACCUAACCUUAGGUGGAAGAUAACCUCGGGAAACUGAGAAUAAUAUUCCAUAGAUCUAGGAUGCUGGAAUGCAUCUAGAUUAAAAGUUCCGACGCCUAAGGAUGGGUCUGCGGACUAUCAGGUUGUAGUCAGGGUAAAGACCUGACUAGCCUACGACGGAUAUGGGUUGUGAGAGCAAUAGCCCAGAGACGAUAUCUGAGACACGAUAUCGGGCCCUACGGGGCGCAGCAGGCGCGAAAUCUUCACAAUGUGCGAAAGCACGAUGAGGGGAUCCCAAGUGCUGGCACGUAAGUGUCAGCUGUUUCUUAGUCUAAAAAACUGAGUGAGUAAGGGCUGGGUAAGACGGGUGCCAGCCGCCGCGGUAAUACCUGCAGCUCAAGUGGUGGCCGCUAUUAUUGGGCCUAAAACGUCCGUAGCCUGUUUAGUAAAUGCUUGGGUAAAUUGUGUAGCUUAACUAUACGAAUACCGAGUAGACUGCUAAACUUGGGACCGGGAGAGGCUAGAGGUACUCCUGGGGUAGAGGUGAAAUUCUGUAAUCCUAGGGGGACCACCAGUGGCGAAGGCGUCUAGCUAGAACGGGUCUGACGGUGAGGGACGAAGCCCUGGGGCGCAAACCGGAUUAGAUACCCGGGUAGUCCAGGGUGUAAACGCUGCUUGCUUGAUGUUAGUUGGGCUCCGAGCCCAACUAGUGUCGGAGAGAAGUUGUUAAGCAAGCUGCCUGGGAAGUACGGUCGCAAGACUGAAACUUAAAGGAAUUGGCGGGGGAGCACAGCAACGGGUGGAGCGUGCGGUUUUAAUUGGAUUCAACGCCGGG
RNAcentral lists this ribosomal RNA (916 nucleotides) under uncultured archaeon. RNAcentral's name for it is "bacterial SSU rRNA". It matches the Rfam family "Archaeal small subunit ribosomal RNA", at positions 1 to 922 of the family's 1478-position model. The record is from RNAcentral.